This 2152-nucleotide ribosomal RNA is filed under the name human gut metagenome. RNAcentral describes it as "bacterial LSU rRNA". It matches the Rfam family "Bacterial large subunit ribosomal RNA", at positions 1 to 2007 of the family's 2925-position model. The record is from RNAcentral.
UGCCGCUUGCGAGGGCGUAUGGUGGAUGCCUUGGCAGACAGUACCGAUGAAGGACGUUUGAGGAUGCGAUAAUCCUAGGGGAGCCUCCAACAUGGCUUUGAUCCUAGGGUCUCCGAAUGGGGGAACCCGCCGGCCGUCAUGGGCCGGCACCGCCUAUGGGCGGGGGGUACGCAGGGAAGUGAAACAUCUCAGUACCUGCAGGAAGGGAUACUCCGUGAGUAGUGGCGAGCGAAAGCGGAUCAGACCAAACCGGUUGCGCGUGAUACCCGUCGGGGGUUGCGUUGCCGGUGUCGUGGGAUCACGUGUCCCGGUUCCGACGGGCCGGGCGGGAGUCAUAAAACGGCUUGCCAGGGGAACAGGCUUGAAGGCCUGGCCGUAGAGGGUGCCAGCCCCGUACCUGGACGUGAGCCGUCUUCCGAUCGUGUUGUCCCAAGUAGCGCGGGCCUCGUGGAAUCCCGCGUGAAUCAGCCCAGACCGUUGGGUAAGUCUAAGCAUACCUGUCUGACCGAUAGCGUACCAGUACCGUGAGGGAAAGGUGAAAAGCACCCCGGGAGGGGAGUGAAACAGUUCCUGAAACCGUGCGCCCACAAACCGUCGGAGCCUCCUUGUGGGGUGACGGCGUGCCUAUCGAAAAAUGAGUCUGCGAGUCAGUGGCGGGUGGCGAGCAUAAGCCGUGUGGCGUAUGCGUAGCGAAAGCGAGUCUUAAAAGGCGUUUUCAGUCGCUUGUCCUGGACCCGAAGCGGGAUGAUCUAGCCCUGGGCAGGUUGAAGCGCGGGUAAGACCGCGUGGAGGACCGAACCCACCUGGGUUGAAAACCGGGGGGAUGACCUGGGGCUAGGGGUGAAAGGCCAAUCAAAUUCCGUGAUAGCUGGUUCUCUCCGAAAUGCAUUUAGGUGCAGCGUCGGUCGAUUGCGUCGCGGGGGUAGAGCUACCGGAUGCUUGCGGGCCCUUGUUGGGUACCAACAGCAGCCGAACUCCGAAUACCGUUGACGUGUAUUCCGGCAGUGAGUCGGCGGGGGAUAAGCUCCGUCGUCGAGAGGGAGACAGCCCAGACCGUCGUCUAAGGUCCCGAAGCGUGUGCUAAGUGGGAAAGGAUGUGGAGUCGCAUAGACAGCCAGGAGGUUGGCUCAGAAGCAGCCAUCCUUGAAAGAGUGCGUAACAGCUCACUGGUCUAGUGGUUCCGCGCCGACAAUGUAGCGGGGCUCAAGCACACCACCGAAGACGCGGCAGCAAUCUUCAUGGUUGCUGGGUAGGAGAGCGUCCUGCGAGGGGCGAAGCGGCCGGGUAACCGUGCCGUGGACUUCGUGGGAGUGAGAAUGCAGACAUGAGUAGCGAGAGACGGGUGAGGAUCCCGUCCGCUGGAUGACCAAGGGUUCCGGGGCCACGUUCGUCGUCCCCGGGUGAGUCGGGUCCUAAGGCGAGGCCGACAGGCGUAGUCGAAUGGAUGAACGGGUGGAUAUUCCCGUACCGACCAUGGACCGGCAAAACCGAGACGGUGAGUACUAACCUCCGCCUCGUGGUGGUUCCUUCCUUCGGGUUGGUAUCGCCGCGUGGUGUUGGGACUGUAGCCGUAGUAGGUCAGCGCAGGGGUGACACGGAAUGGGAGCCGGCCGCGGAGGUGGUUUUCCGUGGUCAAGCACGCAGCCAGUCAUGUAGGCAAAUCCGCAUGGCGCGCAUGGCGAGGUGUGAUGAUGGGAGCCGUUAUGGCUCGAUAUCCGGUUGUCCAGGCCGUCGAGAAAAGCCUCGGCGUGAGGGCCAUGGCCGCCCGUACCCCAAACCGACACUGGUGGUCAGGUAGAGAAUACCAAGGCGAUCGAGCGAAUCCUGGUCAAGGAACUCGGCAAAUCACUCCCGUGCCUUCGGUAUAAGGGAGACCCACUGGGGUGAAGGACCUUGCGUCCGGAGCUUUGGUGGGUGGCACAGACCAGGGGGUAGCGACUGUUUACCAAAAACACAGGUGCAUGCGAAGGCGAAAGCCGCUGUAUAUGCACUGACGCCUGCCCGGUGCCGGAAGGUUAAGAGGAUCCGUCAAUCCCUUCGGGGACGAAGCGGUGAAUUCAAGCCCCGGUAAACGGCGGUGGUAACUAUAACCAUCCUAAGGUAGCGAAAUUCCUUGUCGGGUAAGUUCCGACCUGCACGAAUGGCGUAACGA